Molecule: long non-coding RNA, 1510 nt
Filed under: Homo sapiens (human)
Lineage: Eukaryota; Metazoa; Chordata; Mammalia; Primates; Hominidae
Description: HSALNT0279824
Source: RNAcentral
CGCGUGGUCAAACUUCUUAUGGGUCUAUCAUUCCCACGCCUGCUGCUUAAAGAAAAUGCAUUGUACUUUAAACCAGCAAUAAGUUUAUGGAUUAAUUAAUCCAAUUAGAACAUUUUUCUUUGCCUAGCAUACAGUUUUUGCAAUUUUCCCUAUUACAUUCAAUCAAAUAAGUAAUAACUAAGUGCAUCUGUAGUCUGGAAAAGAAAAUGGAACAGAAAGAGAAGGGGUAAAGGUAAAAAUUCCAACAGUCCCUUUCCCCACAAGAAUAACCCCAUGCCUGAUACUUGUCUUAGGAACUUGAAGAAUCUCUCUGAGUCCUGCUACAUCAGCACUUUUGGGAUUAAUCCAUGGGUGUUUGAAAGGAAUGCAUUGUUGUCACUCUGUCGACCAGGCUGGUGUCCAGCAGCAUGAUCUCAGCUCACUGCAAUCUCCAUCUCCCGGGUUCAAGCUAUUCUCCUGCCUCAGCCUCCUGAGUAACUGGGAUUACAGGCACCACCACCACGCCUGGCUAAUUUUUGUAGUUUUAGCAGAGACGGGGUUUCACCAUGUUGGCCAGGCUGGUCUUGAACUCCUGACCUCAAGUGAUCCACCCACCUCGGCCUGCCAAAGUGCUGGGAUUACAGGCUUGAGUCACAGUGCCUGGACUCAACUUUCUUUCUUUAAAUUUUAUUUUAUGUUCUGAGGUAUAUGUGCAGGAUGUGCAGGUUUACUACAUAGGCACACAUUUACCUAGGUUCAACUUUCUCAGUUGUAAAAAGCAAAUAAAUUAUAGGAGAGUGUUUAUGCACUUUAGAUAGUUACUGAAUUAUUCACUAUUUUGAAUGUUGUUCUAAAUUUGUAGAGGAACUAGAUUUGGAUUAGUAAAAGUUACUGGUGAGAAUUUUUACUCAAGAGUAGCAUUUUGGAAACUCAUUGUCCAACAAGACUGAAGUGAAGGUUCAAGUGCAGCAACAGCAGAGAGGUAAUGAAACCACUUUUGCAAAAUUCAUGACAGUAAGAGAAUUAUGACUGUGAAAGAGAUCUGACCUAACUCCAUGUUGCCUUUAAUCUCCAAACUGCCCUUGGUCAUUCCUGGGCAUGGGCCAAGCUAACUUUGAGAGAACUUUAGUUUAUGGUUUAAAUGAUAAUAGCCCUUCCCAAAAUUAAACUGCCUUUGUAAAACUAAUGAAAGGCAACCAGGUUAGGAGAAUGAGAGGUGCCUGAAGUCUGCUAAUAUAUAGGUGAUAUGGUUUGGCUGUGUCCCCACCCAAAUCUCAUUUUGAAUUGUAGCUCCCAUAAUUCCCACGUGUCAUGGGAGGGACCUGGUGGGAGGUAAUUGAAUCAUGGUGGCAGAUUUUUCCCAUGGUAUUGUCAUGACAGUAAAUAAGUCUCACAGGUCUGAUGGUUUUAUAAAGGGGAGUUCCCCUGCACAUACUCUCUCUCUCUUGCCUGCAGCCAUGUAAAAUGCACCUUUGCUUCUCCUUUGCCUUCUGCCAUGAUUGUGAGGCCUCCCCAGCCAUGUGGAACUGUG